RNAcentral lists this ribosomal RNA (1533 nucleotides) under Escherichia coli. Its description in RNAcentral is "bacterial SSU rRNA". It matches the Rfam family "Bacterial small subunit ribosomal RNA". The record is from RNAcentral. Lineage: Bacteria; Pseudomonadati; Pseudomonadota; Gammaproteobacteria; Enterobacterales; Enterobacteriaceae.
UUGAAGAGUUUGAUCAUGGCUCAGAUUGAACGCUGGCGGCAGGCCUAACACAUGCAAGUCGAACGGUAACAGGAAGCAGCUUGCUGCUUUGCUGACGAGUGGCGGACGGGUGAGUAAUGUCUGGGAAACUGCCUGAUGGAGGGGGAUAACUACUGGAAACGGUAGCUAAUACCGCAUAACGUCGCAAGACCAAAGAGGGGGACCUUCGGGCCUCUUGCCAUCGGAUGUGCCCAGAUGGGAUUAGCUAGUAGGUGGGGUAACGGCUCACCUAGGCGACGAUCCCUAGCUGGUCUGAGAGGAUGACCAGCCACACUGGAACUGAGACACGGUCCAGACUCCUACGGGAGGCAGCAGUGGGGAAUAUUGCACAAUGGGCGCAAGCCUGAUGCAGCCAUGCCGCGUGUAUGAAGAAGGCCUUCGGGUUGUAAAGUACUUUCAGCGGGGAGGAAGGGAGUAAAGUUAAUACCUUUGCUCAUUGACGUUACCCGCAGAAGAAGCACCGGCUAACUCCGUGCCAGCAGCCGCGGUAAUACGGAGGGUGCAAGCGUUAAUCGGAAUUACUGGGCGUAAAGCGCACGCAGGCGGUUUGUUAAGUCAGAUGUGAAAUCCCCGGGCUCAACCUGGGAACUGCAUCUGAUACUGGCAAGCUUGAGUCUCGUAGAGGGGGGUAGAAUUCCAGGUGUAGCGGUGAAAUGCGUAGAGAUCUGGAGGAAUACCGGUGGCGAAGGCGGCCCCCUGGACGAAGACUGACGCUCAGGUGCGAAAGCGUGGGGAGCAAACAGGAUUAGAUACCCUGGUAGUCCACGCCGUAAACGAUGUCGACUUGGAGGUUGUGCCCUUGAGGCGUGGCUUCCGGAGCUAACGCGUUAAGUCGACCGCACGGGAGUACGGCCGCAAGGUUAAAACUCAAAUGAAUUGACGGGGCCCGCACAAGCGGUGGAGCAUGUGGUUUAAUUCGAUGCAACGCGAAGAACCUUACGGUCUUGACAUCCACGGAAGUUUUCAGAGAUGAGAAUGUGCCUUCGGGAACCGUGAGACAGGUGCUGCAUGGCUGUCGUCAGCUCGUGUUGUGAAAUGUUGGGUUAAGUCCCGCAACGAGCGCAACCCUUAUCCUUUGUUGCCAGCGGUCCGGCCGGGAACUCAAAGGAGACUGCCAGUGAUAAACUGGAGGAAGGUGGGGAUGACGUCAAGUCAUCAUGGCCCUUACGACCAGGGCUACACACGUGCUACAAUGGCGCAUACAAAGAGAAGCGACCUCGCGAGAGCAAGCGGACCUCAUAAAGUGCGUCGUAGUCCGGAUUGGAGUCUGCAACUCGACUCCAUGAAGUCGGAAUCGCUAGUAAUCGUGGAUCAGAAUGCCACGGUGAAUACGUUCCCGGCCUUGUACACACCGCCCGUCACACCAUGGGAGUGGGUUGCAAAAGAAGUAGGUAGCUUAACCUUCGGGAGGGCGCUUACCACUUUGUGAUUCAUGACUGGGGUGAAGUCGUAACAAGGUAACCGUAGGGGAACCUGCGGUUGGAUCACCUCCUU